CACGAGAGAGGCGACUUUACGUCAGCGGCCCUGGGCUGAGAUUUGAGAACGCGACCAAGUGGAGAAUGUUGGAGCCAGAUUUUAAAAUCCUUGUCUUCCUUCUGCGUGCUACUUGAUCUAAAUGAGAUACGGCAAAGUCACAGAACCUGUUUUUAUGUUUUUGCCUGAUUCAUACGGGCUUCUCCGGUGAAGAUGGGCCUGAAGUAACGCUUGGGUUGCUUCUGACGUUAUAACUCAUCCUGUAGCUGCAGCAACCGUGGUCCUUGCAACCUCAUAAAAAUGUUGCCAGCAUUGUUUCGAUAGUGCUGCUUAAUUCUUGGAAGGCCUCUUUGCUUUCUUCCCUGAGGUUCUUCGGACUUCACACAUUCCAGCAGUAGCUCUCUCAGCUCCUGUCCUGCACAGCUUUGAAGUGCUGGUGAUGUCAUUGAACUCUUAAGUGCAAGAUGAAACAAGUCUUUCUGGGGUUCUAAGUAGAGAUGGGGUCUCCCUAUAUUGCCCAGGCUGGGCUUGAACUCCUGGACUUGAACGAUCCUCCAGCUUUGGCCUCCCAAAAUGCUGAGAUUACAGGCGUGAGCCACCAUGCUUGGCAGCUGAAGACACAGCCCUGGUGAUGGCUUUCUGAGGAUGACACGAUGGAGGCUUCUCCAAUAGCUCUAAAACUGCGGUGUGGAAAACAUUCGGCAGCCUCAAAGAGCGGUCUUGUUGACCCCAACUAUAUCAUUUUUCAUCAAAAUCAUUCUUGUAAAGAAUGACCAGGCAACACUCUUUGAAAAUUGGAGGCCAUUUGCAGCUGCUCUCUGUUGAGGAAAGUGAAUAAUAGGGUGCCCUCAAGGAAUUGCAAAGGUAUCACUCAACAGAAACUUUCGUGUCUGAAGAAAACUAGAUCAUUUUAUCAUGGUAGGCAUGCUGAUAUGUUUGCUUUAAUAAAAUGCCAUAUUUCUGCCUUUAAUCUCUUGUCAACCCGCUAUUAAAAAGCCCCAAAGUGCAUGUGUGCAGCGCAUGUAAACACUUGUGGUUUUGAGGUUACCACAGAACAUACUAAUAAAGCAUGUAAUUUGUGUUUUGUGCA
Molecule: long non-coding RNA, 1069 nt
Filed under: Homo sapiens (human)
Lineage: Eukaryota; Metazoa; Chordata; Mammalia; Primates; Hominidae
Description: non-protein coding lnc-BMP6-106:102
Source: RNAcentral